UUUCAUUUUUCCUCCUUUGGCUUGGCCUCUGUUUCUCUUUGUUUCUAUUACUUCUGUUUUUCAGGUUCCCUUUUCCCUCCCACUACUGAGUAAUCAGUGUCCAGUCAGAAAUCAGAGCAUCUUUAGUCUGAACCGUUCAAACCAGGGAACUAUUGUCACAUGCCGGGGAAACAAAAACAAGGCUUCUGGGAUUCUCGGAGGGAUGAAGCUGUCCAGAACCCAUCAAGCCACAGUAUCUAAAAGCAGGGCGCCUACUUUGACCGGGUACAACUGAUCAUCCCACUCUCAUCUCUAACUCAACUCCUCAUGUUCUCCAAACCAAACCCUGGCCCAAUGGAGCUGCAGUACAACAUGAGAUACAAAAAAUGCUAUGCUGUAGAAAUUCCACAGUGAUUCUCCAGGUCUCCCACUGUAAUAUCAGCAGAAGAUUGGUUAAACCCUCAAUUAAAUAGUAGAAAAAGCUGGAAAUUAACAUUUAUCUCCCCUGAUAUAAUGACUGGUGAUUGGCCCAGCAUGUUCUGGCAUAUCUACAUGAAGCACAGUAAGACAUUAGUCAGACAACUCAAUCAUCACCUGCUUUCAAAAUCACUGACUCACAUAAAGUAUGGAUUGUAACAUGCAAUGUCAUUCAAUGUACUCAGUGACCCACUCUCCACAACUGUAUUCGCUCUCCGUGAGCUUUAAAUUUGCUACAAUUGGACGAAUUGCACCCAAGCAUGGAGUGUGUGAACACAGCCUUGCUGCAUAAAUGAAGAGCCUUCAGCGGAGGGGGAGCUGAGUGUCCCAGCCCAAUCGUUGCUGGCCUCCCCAGCAGGAGAGAUGUUUCAGAGCCAGCAUUGUCACAUCAUUCCUCUGCACCUUCCACCAGUGCAGACACA
Molecule: long non-coding RNA, 878 nt
Organism: Carcharodon carcharias (great white shark)
Lineage: Eukaryota; Metazoa; Chordata; Chondrichthyes; Lamniformes; Lamnidae
Exons: 3
Source: RefSeq, a predicted model, not a curated record